GUGGACAACCUACCCUAUGGUGGGGGAUAACCCCGGGAAACUGGGGAUAAUACCCCAUAGACUAUGGAUGCUGGAAUGCUCUGUAGCCGAAAGGUCAGCCGCCAUAGGAUGGGUCUGCGGCCGAUUAGGUUGUUGUUGGGGUAACGGCCCAACAAGCCUGUAAUCGGUACGGGUUGUGGGAGCAAGAGCCCGGAGAUGGAUUCUGAGACACGAAUCCAGGCCCUACGGGGCGCAGCAGGCGCGAAAACUUUACAAUGCGGGAAACCGUGAUAAGGGAACUCCGAGUGCCCGUUAAAUCGGGCUGUCCAUCAGUUUAAAAAACUGGUGAAGAAAGGGCCGGGCAAGACCGGUGCCAGCCGCCGCGGUAAUACCGGCGGCUCGAGUGGUGGCCACUAUUACUGGGCUUAAAGCGUUCGUAGCUGGUUUGUUAAGUCUCUGGGGAAAUCUUCCGGCUUAACCGGAAGGCAUCUCAGGGAUACUGGCAGACUAGGGACCGGAAGAGGUGAGGGGUACUCCAGGGGUAGGAGUGAAAUCCUGUAAUCCUUGGGGGACCACCUGUGACGAAGG
RNAcentral lists this ribosomal RNA (567 nucleotides) under uncultured archaeon. RNAcentral describes it as "bacterial SSU rRNA". It matches the Rfam family "Archaeal small subunit ribosomal RNA", at positions 100 to 672 of the family's 1478-position model. The record is from RNAcentral.